Chinchilla lanigera (long-tailed chinchilla) is the source of this 5572-nucleotide long non-coding RNA. Lineage: Eukaryota; Metazoa; Chordata; Mammalia; Rodentia; Chinchillidae. The record is from Ensembl.
GCCUCGCGGGUGAGUGAGCGCCGGGCUCUGGCCCCAGGGCGUGCAGAGGCCGGGGCGGCGGCGGCCCGCCCCUGUCGUCUGCUCCCCGGGGCCUGGAGUUGUCCGGGUCGCCUUUCCGUGAGAGCCCCUCAGGUGCCCGAAGUUAGCUGGCCCUGGACCGGGGUUGUGAAGCAGUAGAUCCGCGGGAGGGUACGCAGUGUUGGGGGAGACGCCAGAAUGACAAGGAGGAGCCCGGGACACAGCUUUCUUUUUUCGUGUUCCUGGGAUGAUCUUUGGACCCAGAACCUUUGCCCUGAGCUACAUCUCAAGCCCUUUAAAAAAUUUUUUUUUGUUGUGAGAGAGGGUCUCACUAAAUAAUGUAGUCGCCCAGGGUCGGCUCGAAUUUGCCAUUCUCCUGCCUCGGCCUCCCAGCGUGCUGGGAUUGCAUAUGUGCGCCACUAUGCCCAGUUUGGAGCGCAGACUUUACCAAUGUAGGCAUAUUCUGAUGUAAUGCUGAGAGCUUAUUUUUUAUGGAUGUGAGAGAAAGGAAAAGGAUAUAAAAGAUGGCAAGUCCAGAUGGAAGUAAGCGGAAGAUAUUAAAAGCCAAAAAAACAAUGCCUACAAGCUGCCGGAAGCAAGCAGAGAUCCUGAAUAAGGCAAAGACUACUGAAGUUCUGAAAACAACAACAGUUGAGAGUAAUGUUCCAAGUGGUUAUCAGAAUUUAAGUACUGAAGUCAUAACUAGAGACUGCAGACAUCCUGAUACUGUUAAUUCUUCAUUGGACUGUAAGAUAAAUUCAGCACUGUUACUAAAAAGUAUAGGAUUCCCUCAGAAAUUAAUAAAACCUGUAGAAAAAAUUGUUCACUUAGAAACAAGAUUUGAACAUAGUGGUGAACAAGUUGUAAGUUCUUACAAGAAGCCAAGAAAAUCAAUAGAUUCUCCCAGCCAAUUCUUUAUACAAGAAGUGAAAGAGAAAUUCAGUACUUCUGAAACUCAUUUUGAAUAUAAGGCAAAUGUAACGUCAUCCUUUUUUCAAAAUGAACAGAAUUCUAAUCUGAAAUCCAUUUGUCAUUCACCUACUAUUUUGUGUGAUGUAGUUCAAAAUCUCUUGGAUGAUAAUAGAAGCAACAAGAUACCUUCCAAUUUAGAAGCAAACUCCAAUUCAGAGUCACAUGAUAAAAGGCAAAAUGACAUUUUAAGUUCAAACUCAUGUUGUGUGCCGGCUGCGAAAACGCCUAACUUGAUGAAUUUAGGUAGUUCCAGCAAGUGUGCUUCUAACAUUUUGAAAACGAAAGAAUCGACUAGAACCCUAUACUCCAGCAUUUCAGAUUGUGAAAAUACAGACUCAAAGUGGCAGUGCUUACUCAACACUGAUGGUAAUAACAGCUGUAAUCAAAAGAAGAUGUUUUCAGAAAACAAAGAAAAUGUUAAGCAUGUGAAAACGUCAGAGCAAAUUAAUGAAAAUACUUGUGUAGCUCUGGAAAGGCAAGCAGCAGUGCUGGAACAGGUCAAACAUUUGAUUGAACAGGAGAUCUGUAGUACAAAUUUCAAACUAUUUGAUAAAAAAGUGAAAGAAUUGAAUGAACGCAUUGGGAAGACACAGUGCAGGAGAAAACAUGAAGCAAUAGCUGGUGAACUCUUUACAAGAAUAGCAAGACUUCAAAGACGUGUUAAAGCAAUCUUAGCAUUUCAAAGGAAAUAUUUGGAAUCAAAUACAUUUUCCAGUAAUACCCCCUUUAAGAAUGGAAAUUCAGAGACCAUGACUUUGGGUAAGAAUCAAGAGUCAGUUAAUAGCCAAAAGGAAAGAAUGACUUCUGUGUACUGUGAACCUUUCAGCCCUUCAGAAAAAGCAAGUGAAAAAAUUAAUUUGUCAUCGGAUGGUGUUGAGUUUGUUUCUGAAAGUAACAGUGAUGAUGUUAUGUUGAUUUCGGCAGAGAGUCCUAAUUUGACAGCUCCAGUUACAGCAAGUCCAACAGAUUCUAGAACAAUUACAUCAACAAAUUCCAGCAGUUCAUCUAAUAAUAUAAUUGAAGUUAGGACUCCAGAGAAGAAAUGUGAUUUUGUUAUUGAUUUGACAAAAGAAGGCCUGUGCAACUACAAUACAGAAAGUCCACCGUUCACCCUGGAAUCACCUUCUAAGCCUGCUUUAAACUCAAAAGAAAUAACCCCAGUGGCAGAAAAUGUAACUGAGGUACUAACACGAAGUGCUCUGUAAGGACAUUCAUUCCAAACUGAGAGGAUUUGGAUUCCUUUGAGCACCUGCCACCUCUCCCAGAACCAUCAUCGCCACUGCCUGAACUCCUUUACGGGGACACGCUCCCUCCCCAGAAGCCCGAGCUGAAAGUGAAGUGGGUGCUGAGACCCAUGGGCAUCGCCCUAACCUGGAACAUCACCAAGAUCGACCCCAGGUGUGCUCCUGUGGAAAGCUACCACCUCUUCCUGUGCCAUGAGAAUGCCAAUAAUAAGUUGAUUUGGAAGAAAAUCGGAGAAAUUAAAGCUUUACCACUCCCAAUGGCCUGUACUUUAUCAGAAUUUUUUGCUUCCAAUAGAUACUAUUUUGCUGUCCAGUCAAAAGACAUUUUUGGGCGUUAUGGACCAUUUUGUGACGUAAAAUCAGUCCCUGGUUUUUGUGAUAACUUGACCUAAAAGUCUUCAGGAAUUAUAUGUUGUAUAUGAAAUAUUCUGUUUUUCGUAUUUGAGUUGUUCACAUUACUCUUAACACUAUUUACCAUUUCACAAGGUCAGAUUGUGAACCCUUUGGGGACAGUCCUCUUCCUUUUACUGUAAUUAGCUUGUAGUUUCAUGAAUUUCUGACUUGCUUGAACUUCCAAUGUGUGUGUUCUCAAACAUACUGUCGUGGGCCUAUGUUGCUAAGGUGUCUGGGAUACAAGCAGCGAUUUUGUCUUCUGUCAACAGUCAGCUUUGGUGACCUGCUUGUGGUCAGUGUAGCUGUAAGAAAAAUUGUCCCUUAAAGUCUUCACAUUCUGUUAGAAUUCUAGGUAGGCUACGGACCUGUGCCCCUCUUUUUUAUUUAUUUUAGUUUACUUUAUGUCAUGCAUUUGGAGAAGUAGUCUAAAAUUUUUGCUUAAGACUGCUUGUGUGCUUAUGUAUGAAAUGUGUUAAACAUUGUGUGCUGUGUACACAAAAACAUACACUAUCUCAUAAAAACACUGUUCGAUCUGGAUUUAAGUUGUAGUUGUCUGCUGUCUUUGCACUUGUUUUGGCUGCCAUCAAGGACUCAAAAUAUAACACUGAAAGGUUCUAAUGGACUAGUCUUGCAGACUGCUUCCUUGGGGGAAUACCAAGGUAAAGCUCAGGAAACCGGUUUGAGAAUUGUAAGGGCCCAAGGGAGAAGGACGUUGUGGAUGGCUAAUAACUGGAAUGUUACAAAAAUAGAAAAAUCACUGUUUGAAAGUGGGGUGUUCUUUCCUGAUACAUAGUAAAAGUUGUGAACUUUAAAAAUGAACAGUAAAUGGUUUUCCUAGCAUUUUGUGAAUGUGUUCACAUCUAGAGUCAUGAAUAAGGCUAUUCUUUUGCCCGCCUUCCGUGUCUCUACAGAACAUGUCUGAAAGAGCCAGAUUCUGAAACACAGACAAGGUGUUCAUCCUGAGGUGAGGUACACGAGACCUUAACUCACUAAGUGAAGGCCAGCGACUUGACUCUAUGACCAGAUUCUGGAACCCCUCACCAACAGAAACUACACUCACCCCAGCGGGCCACAUGGACAAGUUCAAAGCAAUGAGCUUGUACGUUAGCAGGAUAAGAGGGGGCUGACAGCAGACAUCUGAGAGGGGAUGGCUCACAGUAUUAAUCCUUACCUUUCAAGGAGUAAGAAUAAUGUUCUCAACUGCCAGGUACUAAUGACACCAGAAAAUAGCUGGCCUGAGGCAGAGUGCUCCCCUCCUGCACAGUCAGUGCAGAGAAUUAGCUCAGCCUAGAAAGGCUUCCUGCACCUGUAGUAUGGUGGGAAGCCUUUAUUCUUCCAUUGAGCAGUAGGACCACAUUGGUGAGCUGAACACUGAAUAUGCUGAGAAAAGUUGGUGAGUAGCUCAUGGAAUCAGAUUCAGGCUUGGGAAACAGGCUGGACAGGUGCAUGUUUUGCAAUAACUCCACGAGGUUUCAGACCUGGGAUAGUUUUAUACAAUUCAUAUUUUAACAAGACAUGAUGACACGAGAUGUUUUAUGCCAUUUUAAAGAUGGUUGCUUAGACGCCUUCACCAAGGCCAUAGAAACCCAACAAAUAAGUUGAAGCAAGAUUCAAACCCUGCUCUAGUUCCUCGGCUCAGGAUGGGUCCACCAUCUUUACUGCCUGAGGGAUUGGAUGGAUCCAACAGAAUUCACACAGUUCUUGACUGCCUUGCUAUGUGGAAAUCGAGAAACUCCAGGAAAACAAACCCUCUGGCAUUUUUGUCUUCAAUGAGAGGUGUACUCAGCCAUUCUGAGACUCAGGGUGGGUGUGAUGGUACUUUUCUGUGUCCCUAUACCUAAGCUGUGGCCACCUCUCCAGGAUUUUCACGGACCUGCAGCUCUAGCAGCUGCUGUAAGAGCUGCCCUCAGCCUACCCAUGUAACAGGAUUGUCACUGCUCUGUGCUUUCCCCGCAGUCCACUGUGCUGCUGAUGGAGUGAGAUGCGGACCUGAAUCCAGCUUCUCCCUACUCAUCCGCAGCAGCCUUCCUCUUGCUGCCUGGCUGCCCUGUGGUGACUCCAGCCUCCCCACAGGACACACAGGAGCAGUGUACAUGGCCGUCAGCUCACAGGGCCAUGUGUAACGCCACAAGGAAUUCCUGGCUCUAGCUUCAUUGGUUCCCUUGCUGACAGGAAGAGCCCCCUGUCUCUGGGGGAUUGAGCGGGGCAGUAGAUUGCCAGGCUAUCCUGUAAGCACCCUUUCUCACCCUGAAAGCCAGUCCCAUCACUGAAAUGUGGCUUAGCAACUCAUUUCUUUCUCACUGUGCAAAGUGAAGGCAGUACUGCCCUGCGGUUUAUAGCAGCCUGCCUGCUUACCUCUGCUGUCCCUCUUCUUUCUCCCAUUCUCACUCUCUUUCCUUGUUUAACUGGUUCUGCCAGUGAGACUCAGGGCCCUGAUGAAAGGCCAUCUUGUAAGGAAGACGAACAUAGUAAAUUCUAUCAUUUUGUGUCUCAACAUCCAACAGAAAAGUAAGUUGGAGUUUCUCAGGCCAGAGCUUCCUAAACUUUGCUUCUGGUCCCAGUUCUCCACCUCCUACCAGUGGCCCGCGGUGGCCCCUUCAGACAGCUGUCCUCUGCAGCCACCACCUACAGUUGCUAUGGAGUAAAUAUUCAACCCCCUUGGGUCCCCCUAGUGGGGGCUUCCAUCACCACGUGGUCUCUACCAAUGUACUGCAGGGACCACCUCUUUCUUGGUAACAGCACGAUCCCAUGGAACUUACUCGUUCACUUGCUCUAAACUCACAAAUAGACCUCCUGAAGGGAACCUCUUCAAUACCUGGAUCCCCAUAAAGGCUUCAGUUCCAUUUCUUUUGGAUCUUCCCAACAGCCCUGCUAGGCACCCCUCUCAGAUCCAUGAGUAAUAAAGUGCUUCUGUAUAUUACAUACUUCACUGUGAUGCCUCUCUG